UCCCAGUCACGCCUCUGACUCUGCUGCCU
RNAcentral lists this non-coding RNA (29 nucleotides) under Homo sapiens (human). Lineage: Eukaryota; Metazoa; Chordata; Mammalia; Primates; Hominidae. The record is from RNAcentral.